Molecule: ribosomal RNA, 305 nt
Filed under: uncultured bacterium
Lineage: Bacteria
Description: bacterial SSU rRNA
Rfam family: Bacterial small subunit ribosomal RNA
Source: RNAcentral
CCUACGGGGGGCAGCAGUGGGGAAUAUUGCACAAUGGGGGAAACCCUGAUGCAGCGACGCCGCGUGAAGGAAGAAGUAUUUCGGUAUGUAAACUUCUAUCAGCAGGGAAGAAAAUGACGGUACCUGACUAAGAAGCCCCGGCUAACUACGUGCCAGCAGCCGCGGUAAUACGUAGGGGGCAAGCGUUAUCCGGAUUUACUGGGUGUAAAGGGAGCGUAGGCGGUUUAGCAAGUCAGAAGUGAAAGCCCGGGGCUCAACUCCGGGACUGCUUUUGAAACUGUUGAACUAGAUUGCAGGAGAGGUAA